UUCACUGGUGGGAACAAGUUGGGUAGGGGUGAUUGGUCAGUACAAAAGGGGUAUUCAUUUGAACUGAUUGGUUUAAGCCAAGAGCGGUGUUCCUGCUGCACUACAUGGUUUCCCAAUCACCAUAAACUACUGGGAGGGUUAUCUGGCAUCCCAGGUAUUUCCCUGUCUCAUGCUGAUUGGUGGCUGCUAGGGGGUUGCUAUGGAUCCCCACCUAGCCUGACUGAGUCAGGGACACCUGGUGCAGCAGAUCUCUCCUGUUAUUUGUAGAUAAACAACUUAGCAGGGUGGGAAUGUGCCUAGGAGUGCUCUGUGGGUUUUUCCAAGGACAAAGGUGAUGUCCCUUCCUUGGACAGGCUUUGCUCUGAGAUAGAGGCUGGUUUUUCAAGAGGGAACAACAGCACUGGCCUUGUGUCCUGUGGUGAGCCUGGGCAUUCCUGCCGGAGUUUCCAACCAGAACUCGUGAGCUUAAAAGUCCUGGAUCAGCAGCAGAGGGCACCAAGUGACCACACUGGAUCCACACAGCUGGGGUGUCAGCCUCUGCUGAGAGCUCCUGAGGCUUCUUAGGAAGUACAGAGGGUGCAGCCCUGAACUGACCAGCACUUUCCCUCUUGGUGCCUUGGUUACCUCAUCGCUGCAAUAUGGACACACAUGUUUACUAACUGUUGGCACUGGGGAGCAUAUGUGAGGGGGUUAGUCCAGCCCAGUACAGCUCUACUGUACUAGGUAGCCUCAAUAUUUUAUUAUGUUUUCACAUAUCAUUUAUAUAAAUUAUGAUAUUUUAACAAGUGA
This is a long non-coding RNA of Marmota monax (woodchuck), 789 nucleotides long. RefSeq lists it as uncharacterized. The transcript is spliced from 2 exons. The record is from RefSeq and is a predicted model, not a curated record. Lineage: Eukaryota; Metazoa; Chordata; Mammalia; Rodentia; Sciuridae.